AAACUCAAAGGAAUUGACGGGGGCCCGCACAAGCAGUGGAGUAUGUGGUUUAAUUCGAAGCAACGCGAAGAACCUUACCAGGUCUUGACAUCGUACGCAUAGCAUAGAGAUAUGUGAAAUCCCUUCGGGGACGUAUAGACAGGUGGUGCAUGGUUGUCGUCAGCUCGUGUCGUGAGAUGUUGGGUUAAGUCCCGCAACGAGCGCAACCCUUACUGUUAGUUGCUACGCAAGAGCACUCUAGCAGGACUGCCGUUGACAAAACGGAGGAAGGUGGGGAUGACGUCAAAUCAUCAUGCCCCUUAUGACCUGGGCUACACACGUACUACAAUGGCUGUUAACAGAGGCAAGCAAAACAGUGAUGUGGAGCAAAACCCUAAAAGCAGUCUUAGUUCGGAUUGUAGGCUGCAACCCGCCUACAUGAAGUCGGAAUGCUAGUAAUCGCGGAUCAGCAUGCCGCGGUGAAUACGUUCCCGGGCCUUGUACACACCGCCCGU
Molecule: ribosomal RNA, 494 nt
Filed under: uncultured Ruminococcus sp.
Lineage: Bacteria; Bacillati; Bacillota; Clostridia; Eubacteriales; Oscillospiraceae
Description: bacterial SSU rRNA
Rfam family: Bacterial small subunit ribosomal RNA
Source: RNAcentral